This is a microRNA precursor of Bos taurus (domestic cattle), 74 nucleotides long. Lineage: Eukaryota; Metazoa; Chordata; Mammalia; Artiodactyla; Bovidae. The record is from Ensembl.
GGUUAGCCUAAAAGUUCGUUGGGGUUUUUCUUUAUGAUCUUAUGGAAGAACCCUAACAAAAUUUUUGGCCCACC